RNAcentral lists this ribosomal RNA (454 nucleotides) under Blastocystis sp. RNAcentral describes it as "SSU rRNA". It matches the Rfam family "Eukaryotic small subunit ribosomal RNA", at positions 474 to 939 of the family's 1831-position model. Lineage: Eukaryota; Bigyra; Opalinata; Blastocystidae. The record is from RNAcentral.
UAAAUCACAAUGCGGAACAAUGUUUUGCAAUUGGAUUGAGAACAACGUACAAACCUUAUCGAUAAACAAUUGGAGGGCAAGUCUGGUGCCAGCAGCCGCGGUAAUUCCAGCUCCAAUAGCGUAUAUUAACGUUGUUGCAGUUAAAAAGCUCGUAGUUGAAAUGAAGGGUAGUUGUGUAAUGAAUACAUUCGUGUAUUUUGUUAUUCUACUACCCUCCUUCUAAAUUCGAUAUAUGAGUAUUAAUUUACUUGUAUAUGGUUUUAGACCUUUACUGUGAGAAAAUUAGAGUGUUCAAAGCAGGCAUUUGCUUGAAUAUAUUAGCAUGGAAUAAUCAUGUAUGAUUUUCAUGAUGUAUUUGAUUGGUUUGGUUCAUGAGAAUAAGAUUAAAAGGGACAGUUGGGGGUAUUCAUAUUCAAUAGUCAGAGGUGAAAUUCUCGGAUUUAUGGAAGAUGAA